RNAcentral lists this unclassified non-coding RNA (374 nucleotides) under soil metagenome. RNAcentral describes it as "partial internal transcribed spacer 1". The record is from RNAcentral.
ACACGUUCCAAACGUACAAACACUCGUGCACCAGUUUGCAGCUCUUGAUCGUGUCUUGUGGUGGUUUUGGUUCUGCACAGUAGUCCGGUGGGCGUUUUCUCUCGAUGCUUAAACCGUUGUUUCCAUCGCGAAAUAACAGUCGUGAGAAAAUGGGAUGAACUCAGAGCCAGAUAUGUAUCUGGUGUGUGAUCAUUAUCAUGCACACAGUACAAUCGCCAUUACUCUACACACUUGAGACUGUAGUUGUUUUUAAAUCCAAUCCCCACUGUAUGUACCCCCCUUUUAUUAACCCUUUGUAAACUUUUGAACUGAUAUUUGUUGUGAGCGCUCUUCAUUGAGCUGCUGACAGCAAGACUUGAUACGAAACUCAAGUA